UACGUAGGGGGCUAGCGUUAUCCGGAAUUACUGGGCGUAAAGGGUGCGUAGGUGGUUUCUUAAGUCAGAGGUGAAAGGCUACGGCUCAACCGUAGUAAGCCUUUGAAACUGGGAAACUUGAGUGCAGGAGAGGAGAGUGGAAUUCCUAGUGUAGCGGUGAAAUGCGUAGAUAUUAGGAGGAACACCAGUGGCGAAGGCGGCUUCCUGGUCUGUAACUGACACUGAGGCACGAAAGCGUGGGGAGCAAACAGGAUUAGAUACCCUGGUAGUCCCUGAGCGGG
Molecule: ribosomal RNA, 281 nt
Filed under: uncultured prokaryote
Description: partial 16S ribosomal RNA
Rfam family: Bacterial small subunit ribosomal RNA
Source: RNAcentral